Molecule: ribosomal RNA, 301 nt
Filed under: uncultured bacterium
Lineage: Bacteria
Description: partial 16S ribosomal RNA
Rfam family: Bacterial small subunit ribosomal RNA
Source: RNAcentral
CAGUCGCCACGGGAAUACAGAGGGUGCGAGCGUUAAUCGGAUUUACUGGGCGUAAAGCGUGCGUAGGCGGCUUCUUAAGUCGGAUGUGAAAUCCCUGAGCUUAACUUAGGAAUUGCAUUCGAUACUGGGAAGCUAGAGUAUGGGAGAGGAUGGUAGAAUUCCAGGUGUAGCGGUGAAAUGCGUAGAGAUCUGGAGGAAUACCGAUGGCGAAGGCAGCCAUCUGACCUAAUACUGACGCUGAGGUACGAAAGCAUGGGGAGCAAACAGGAUUAGAUACCCGAGUAGUCCCUGUCUUUUAUAC